UUCGCCUGUUUAUCAAAAACAUGGCUGUGUGAAUUUAAAUGCAGAGUCUGGCCUGCCCAAUGAAUAAAUUUGAAUGGCCGCGGUAAUUUGACCGUGCGAAGGUAGCAUAAUCAGUAGUCUUUUAAUUGAAGGCUGGAAUGAAUGGUCGGACAAGAGAUAAGUUGUCUCUUUUAUAAAUUUUGAAUUUUACUUUUAAGUGAAAAGGCUUAAAUAAUCUGAUGGGACGAUAAGACCCUAUAAAACUUUACGAGGUAAGUAUAUUUUUUUAAUUGAGAAGUCUAAAAAGUAUUUUUACUUUUCUUGUUCUGUUGGGGCGACAAAAAUAUAAAUUUAGUUUUGUAACUGUUUAUUAAAAAAGAAUAGUGAUAGUUAGUUUAUGAUCCUUUAUUAUCGAUUAUAAGAUUAAGUUACUUUAGGGAUAACAGCGUAAUUUUUUUUGAGAGUUCUUAUCGACAAAAUUAGUUGCGACCUCGAUGUUGAAUUAAAAUUUCCUUUUUGUGUAGAAGCAAAAAGGGUAGGUCUGUUCGACCUUUAAAAUUUUACAUGAUUUGAGUUCAAACCGGUGUGAGCCAGGUGGGUUUCUAUCUA
This 588-nucleotide ribosomal RNA is filed under the name Processa guyanae. Its description in RNAcentral is "partial 16S ribosomal RNA". It matches the Rfam family "Bacterial large subunit ribosomal RNA", at positions 1795 to 2644 of the family's 2925-position model. Lineage: Eukaryota; Metazoa; Arthropoda; Malacostraca; Decapoda; Processidae. The record is from RNAcentral.